AGAAAUUUCUAGCAGUUAAAAAAAGUUAUUAGCAAAUCUCCUCUUUUACCCUUAAAAACCUAAAAUAAUUUGCAAAAGAUACCUAUUCCCUUAUUUUAGGUAUAAUAUCAUUUUAAAAAAUAAAUCCAGUCAGUUUGAUAUUAUAAUUUAUAUACAUAGUUUUAGAAGUUUUUAAUCUAUUUUAUUUUGAGAACUAGGUAGGUGCUUUUAAAGAAAAUAUGCUUAGGCUGGCCUUGCUAGGUUCUAGGAUGGAAGAGUGUUUCUACGUUCGAUUUUUUAAAAAACCCAUGAUAUAAUUCUAGAUUUCUUUUUUCUUGAGACAUCAAUUGGUCACCAUAGUAACAUAGCGUUUUACUACAGAGAUCUAUACAGCACAAGGGAAACAGAACGGCAAUUACUUACUGGGUUACUUGGGGGUACAGAAUGUGACUACAGGGAUAAUUUAAGAUUAAAUAUAGAUUUCUUUGGGGAUCUGUUUUAGCAAAGCAAGCUGAUUCAAUCUUCUAGUAGCGUCAGCUGAACAAAAUUUGAAGCCAAAUUGACUGCUGACAUCAUUUGAAAUAAUAUGAGCAGGCAAGCAGCAUAGCUCAGUGGUUAAGAGCACAGGCUUUGGGGUCAAGUUUCGUAGGUCCAAAUUCUGCUUCUACUGUUUGCUAGCUGUGUGACCUUGGGAAAGUUCCCUAACUUCUCUGUGCCUCUGUUUCUUCAUCUCUAAAAUGUGGGUAAUAAAACCUUCCUCAAAGGGUUGUUAUAAGGAUUCAAUGACUGUUUGUGCUUAGAACAGUGCCUUGCACAUUAGAAAGAACUUUCUUAAGUAUUUGUUAAAUAAAGACAAAAUAAAAUUUAAAGGGGCUCCUCUCUUUGUGCUGAAAAUAGUCAAAGACAUGAAAAUUUGAGUUCACGGCUGAUUAUUUUAGCCUGUAACUUUGGUAGAUUCCUUUGAGAACUUCCCCAGGGUCUUGUUGCUAGCAUUUCUACAAGAUGUGAAAUUCUGUGGCAGUCUACUGUCCUAAAUCAGAGCUGGGAACAAUCACAAGCACCCCUGGUUCCAGGAACAUCAGAAGGAAGAUGAUCACACAGCACAAAGGAACAGCACGCCUGCCCACUUCAGCUCCCCAAGCCCUGCCAAUAACCUCUGGGAACAUGGGCAUAGAAUAAGCAGCUGAAAAAGGAUGAAACAGCUUUUAUUACAGUGAUGAUGAAACCUAGUUGGUUUCGGUAAUUUUUUCCCCUCUUUCCAGGCUUCAAGGGGAAAAAAUCCUUUUCAUCAAUGAGUGCUUUGUUUCAUUAAUUAUCACUAUACACAAUUUCC
This 1312-nucleotide long non-coding RNA is filed under the name Homo sapiens (human). RNAcentral's name for it is "HSALNT0185778". Lineage: Eukaryota; Metazoa; Chordata; Mammalia; Primates; Hominidae. The record is from RNAcentral.